RNAcentral lists this ribosomal RNA (465 nucleotides) under uncultured bacterium. RNAcentral's name for it is "partial 16S ribosomal RNA". It matches the Rfam family "Bacterial small subunit ribosomal RNA", at positions 28 to 507 of the family's 1533-position model. The record is from RNAcentral.
GACGAACGCUGGCGGCGUGCUUAACACAUGCAAGUCGAACGGAAAGGCCCUGCUUGCAGGGUACUCGAGUGGCGAACGGGUGAGUAACACGUGGGUGAUCUGCCCUGCACUUCGGGAUAAGCCUGGGAAACUGGGUCUAAUACCGGAUAGGAGCCAUUUUUAGUGUGAUGGUUGGAAAGUUUUUUCGGUGUAGGAUGAGCUCGCGGCCUAUCAGCUUGUUGGUGGGGUAAUGGCCUACCAAGGCGGCGACGGGUAGCCGGCCUGAGAGGGUGGACGGCCACAUUGGGACUGAGAUACGGCCCAGACUCCUACGGGAGGCAGCAGUGGGGAAUAUUGCACAAUGGGCGCAAGCCUGAUGCAGCGACGCCGCGUGGGGGAUGACGGCCUUCGGUUUGUAAACUCCUUUCGCUAGGGACGAAGCUUUUUGUGACGGUACCUAGAUAAGAAGCACCGGCUAACUACGUG